RNAcentral lists this ribosomal RNA (497 nucleotides) under uncultured bacterium. RNAcentral's name for it is "partial 16S ribosomal RNA". It matches the Rfam family "Bacterial small subunit ribosomal RNA", at positions 28 to 507 of the family's 1533-position model. The record is from RNAcentral.
GAUGAACGCUGGCGGCGUGCCUAAUACAUGCAAGUCGAGCGAACGGACGAGAAGCUUGCUUCUCUGAUGUUAGCGGCGGACGGGUGAGUAACACGUGGAUAACCUACCUAUAAGACUGGGAUAACUUCGGGAAACCGGAGCUAAUACCGGAUAAUAUCUUGAACCGCAUGGUUCAAAAGUGAAAGACGGUCUUGCUGUCACUUAUAGAUGGAUCCGCGCUGCAUUAGCUAGUUGGUAAGGUAACGGCUUACCAAGGCAACGAGGCAUAGCCGACCUGAGAGAGUGAUAGGCCACACUGGAACUGAGACACGGUCCAGACUCCUACGGGAGGCAGCAGUAGGGAAUCUUCCGCAAUGGGCGAAAGCCUGACGGAGCAACGCCGCGUGAGUGAUGGAGGUCUUCGGAUCGUAAAACUCUGUUAUUAGGGAAGAACAUAUGUGUAAGUAACUGUGCACAUCUUGACGGUACCUAAUCAGAAAGCCACGGCUAACUACGUG